Molecule: non-coding RNA, 12145 nt
Organism: Doryrhamphus excisus (bluestripe pipefish)
Lineage: Eukaryota; Metazoa; Chordata; Actinopteri; Syngnathiformes; Syngnathidae
Source: RefSeq, a predicted model, not a curated record
AUAUUGACUUUGGCUUGAGCUGGCCUACUUGGGCAGAACAGUGUGGACAAAAGUAUUGGGACAACAUUUGCUCCUAAAGCAGCUUUGUCCUUGUCAUAAAAAAUCUUUGGUCAUCAGCUGGACACUCAUGGUGGGCGACAAUACUAAUUAGUAUUGAUCCGAUAUUGAGUAAAGGCAUCAACGAUACCAGUAUGACAUUUUAGGCGCUUCAUUUUUAUUACAAUCAGUACAAUAUUAUCCCUCUUAUGCCAGUGGUUCCCAAAUCUUGAUUUUUAAAUAUUGACAGAAGGGGAUUGGCUCCAGCAUGCCCGCAGCUUUUGGUGAUAAGCGGCAUAGAAAAUGGAUGGAUGAAGGCUGAUUUAUUCUUUUAUCAAAAUGAUGAAUUGACAGUAUAAGUAACAACGUAAAGCAAUUUCCAAGUUAAGUUUACUCACACCCGCUUUUUGGGGCUUAUUCUAAUUAAUUCUAUUCUAAAUUGUUCCCAAAGCCUGAGUAGUUUUCCCUGGCAGUAUCGCCGCUUUUUUUUUUUUGCGGUUCAAUGCAGCCCCUUAAAAAAAAACUGCAUAAGUCGGCAAAAAAUACUUAUAUAUGGACAAAUUAGCAUAAAAUGUUUAAAGUAAAAUACAAAUUCAUGGCUGGAUCGUUGUAGUUGGAUUGUAGUAUUAUACAUUUGCCACUAGGUGUCAGUGUUUGGAGAGACAGUCACGGCUCUUCCCCACAAUUAACUGCCAGAAAGGAUUACUUUAUAGCUAUAUACAUAUGGCAACUCCACAAACAUGCAUAAUUAUUGGAUACGGCCAUAAAAUGUUUCUCUCAUGCAUCAUCCGAUGAACAGAAAUGGACCAAACGAGAUGCAGUUUGAUGUAUAACUGAUAUGAACUAAUUUUGUAAGAGUUGUCCCAAGACUUUUGUCCACAGUGUAUAUCCCACAUGCUGCUGUGGAGAAGUCAUUCCAAGCCAACACUCCGCUACAUGGUUUGGAUUCCACCCACACAAGCGCCUCAUCUGCUGGGAACAUCAUACUUGUACUUCGACUUGCAAGCGGUACCACUUAUUGUCCUUCACCUCCAAAUCCUUUGGUGUGUUUUUUCUUUUCUUUUUUCAAUGACGUGAGUGGAUGAAUGAAAUGGACGGGUACCAGCAGCAAACAGCUUUGCACCCAGAAAGGAUAAAAGGGGAAAGUGGAGCUUGAAAGGAGUCUUUAAGAUAAUAUCUAAAGUGGUAUCGCUCACUACGUGUCCCAAUGAAGGGAAAGUGUUCAAUAAGUAACAGGGUGCGUUUGCCUGUGCUAAUGGCUUUAGCAGUGGCAUCUGGGAAAUGUCCACUUGUUCUCAGCCUCUGAUCUUCCAACACAGGGAUUAUUAAAAUGACACGAAUCACCGUUGGAUUGUUUUUAGGGGUGCAUGGUAAUUAUGGGGCCGAUAUGUGGAGUAGGAAAUCAUACCGAUAAAUCUGAUAUUGAAAAUAUACCCAAAAUAUUGGUGGAGUAAGAAAUCAUACCGAUAAAUCUGAUAUUAAAAAUAUACCCAAAGUAUUGGUAGAGUAAGAAAUCAUACCGAUAAAUCUGAUAUUAAAAUAUACCCAAAGUAUUGUGUGGGUGAGCAAAUCAAGCGCUCAUUUUUUUCCUCCUGCCUGUGACAUUAAUGGUCUAGCAUAACUUCCCCUGAGCUAAUGUGUAAACAUUCACUUUAUGAUAAUUGGGGGUGGGGGAGUGGAGGAACCCAGCUGCUCGGAGUGUGUGCCUGAGUACAGUUUACCCUCGCUCUGCGCUAUACGUUGGUUCUCCUGAUGGCAGCCAUGUUCUAGUAGUCGGCCAAAUCAACAGGUACACUCGGUCAAAUCCUAAUUUGUUCCAGGCCUUCCCUCCGGGUGUGCAUUAACCACACUUGAAUCUAAAUUUAAAGUAGACAUAAUAUCGGUUAUGUGUAUCAUAUCGGUCUUGAGAAAGGACGUUUUUGCUACGGGUUUAUCGUGCAUCUCUAAUUGUAUUUUGACUCGCAUGAGGAUCUCUUAUGUGCCAUUCUUUAUUGAUCUGUCAUCUUAGAUUUAGCAAAAAGCAAAGGAGCGUCCAGGUUUUAGCAACAUGUUUUUUUCCUCAAAGAUGUAAACUUUGUGUACAUUUUGUGUAUUUUAGUGAGUUGUCAAGUUGAAUGUAUGCAUAGUCACUACAAACUGUCCUAAUGUAUUAAUGUACCCUUUUUUUUUUUACAGUCCUCCAGACGUGAGGCUUGGUUGAUGCAAUAAAGUAUGAAAAGGGAGACCUGCAGUUGUUUGUGAUGUGAGCGUCUCCCCCGAGGACCAUAACACUGCUGUGCCGUCACGGUUGCCGUGUUGGAAAUGUCGCUGUUAGGUGAGGGCUUCUUCACAUUCCGCUGCCUUGGAAAUACAAGAGGUGUGUUUGAAGAGUGUCCGAGGAAGCAUCGCACCCCAGACGUGUGAUCCAACUAAAUCAUCUUCUUUUGGCAGACUUCUCAGGGAAACACAACCACAGCCAUAAGUCAUGCUACCAACGCUUUAACUGGGAUGCGCAUAAUUCCUGGGCGAUUAUGAAAGGCUUAGGGGUUGGCAGCGUGAGCGAGGAGGCUUCCCAUGUAGCGCGUUCCUCAUCUCCUGCCACAGCACAGGCCGCCGUCUGGAAAUAUGUCUCAGUCAAACAUCAACACAGACCUUCAUGUGGUCCCGACUGUGCGCUGAGCUGUAAGCGCUGCCAUUUCCUCCUGCCUACAUGGAGAAACCAGCCAGUCAGGGGGGCCCACAGAUGACACUUGCUCUAUUUUCAGACUUUUUUUAUUUUAUUUAAUUUUUUGGGGCGAAGCUUAGAAAUACUUCAAAAAGUAUUGCUCCUAUAAUAAGGCAGUUUAUUCUAACCAAAGUGCUUUUAUAAAGUUGCAAAGCUGCUGAAUCAGAGUUGGAAAACACCCUUCAACAAAGGAAACCUUCCCGCCACAAUCCUCGAGACAAACACAUUUCUCUGCGUUGAAAGAUUCCCUGAUGGAACACUCCUGCAGAUGCCGAAUAGACUGGUGGAGGAGGAGGCAGGGCAUUGAUCUUUGCAUCUGGUCUCCAGAGUAGCUGCAAGGCACUUGAGGACACGGGUGCUCCUCUGCAUCAUUUGGUGUCCCAGGUGUGCCCCGCACUCCAUCAGCAGCCAAACAAUGCAUGUAAUGGCUGGCGACCAGUCCAGGGUUUAGGUCAGCUGGGAUAGGCUCCAGCAUACCCCAGCGACCCUAGUGAGGAGAGGCGGUAUAGAAUUAUGGUCCAGCUUGAAACUUGCCGUGUUCCACCAAGAUGCAAGCAGGCGGUGUUUCCAUGUGUCAACUCUUGACUAGCUGUUUAGCUUCCUGUUUAGCUUCAGAUGGUCGGUAUACACGUUUGAAUAAUUUGGGUUUAGAAAGGUGGUCUAGUAUGACAGUGGAAUCGGGUGAAGUUCAGUGCAGGACUGAUGGAAGGAUGGAAUGUUUCCUGUCCCUGAAGAAUGCAGCCAAGCUCUUAGUGUCAUAAACAAAAACGUCAACCAUGAAGAGGCUUGUCCCCGCUUUGACGUGAGUAUCUUUGACGUGUGCGGUUUGCUUUGCUGAAGAGAACCGUCAGGGCUUCCAUGUAUUCAGAUGUUACUGCAUCAGCCGUCGCUUGGUCGGGUGUCUGGAUCCCAGACGUCACUCACUUUGUCAUGCUCCUCAUGGCUGGAUCGAGCGUCGGCCAUGCUGGCUUUUAAAGCACGAAGGGAUGAUUGGAAAGAUCAGUCUUGCCUUAAUACUUUUACCAGCUUUUUUACAGCCUGGAAAUGGGAACGCGGUGGCCUUGCGUUGGAGAUGACCUGUCAUGAUUUGGGCUGAGGACUCCUGCCACUCGAAGGUCUGCUGAUUGGAUCAGUGUUUAUAUUCUGGGAUGAGUGCCCUCUUUUUCCUUCCUGUGAAAAGCUGGCUCUCGUGUCUGAGGUUACCCUUCAGAGAAGCCGAGGACUGCAAGCUAACGACCAGCAUGUGACCGCUGUCGCUACAGGUGGAAACGCUUUCAUUAUGCAGACGCGUGUGUUCUCUCAGUGGACUGAUGUUUUGUGCUGUGUGGGCUUGGGAUGAGUAACCUUUCACUCAUGUUCACAUCACGGUGCCAAGUCAAAUUUCAGGUCUUCAUUUUAAUACACUGUUCUGUUGUUUUAGUAUCAUAUUCUGAUCACGUUUUGCUUCAAAAUGUCAGUCCAUGUUGGAAUUCCUCCUUGGCCCUCAAACCGCAGCUACCCAGCAGGACCCGGCAGGACUCGUGCAGUGGCACCACCACGGUUACCUGUAGGUAAGCCGCCAUCACCUCGCUGUAAUUUUAAUAAUAAUUUUGUCCUCAACUGUAUGAACAUAUCUCCACUACCGAUGUUCAAACGCGGACCUACAUUACCAAUCCAAUACACGGUAAGACUUCAGGGGUCUCCAACCAGUAGCUCCUAACCAAUUUAAGUGGCUUUAUUCGUGUAGUACCAAUUCCUAUAGCUACGGAAUUAGCCCGCGUCCAGCACAACUAGGUUUUGGGAACGCUUAAAGGCUAUGGGUUGAAUUAAUUAAAACGGACACUUUUGGAAAUCCAGCCUGGAAUAGGUGCGUAUUCUCGAAGAUCUGGGAAGCUUUUUGGCAUGGACUGUAGCUGCUCUAUAGGUGUCCACAACUCAAUACAAAGGGCUCAAAAAUUGGCGUGUAAGGUCCCCUUUAGUAGGCCGUAGGCAACCACGAAACGGCAUGAUUCGAGUUGAUAUAUAUUUUAGAAAAAGGUGGAGUGAAGCGCAAAGUGGCGAGUGGAUUCCUGUAUUCAUCUGUUGUGUGCAGUGACACACUAAGUUAGUUUUGUACAAUUGAUUCUCAAUUGUGUUGAAAGAGUAAAAAAAAUAAACAAACGUAGAUGUUUCAUCAAGGAUCCUGCCAAUAUGUCCAUCCUUGGAGAUGGCAGAGCUCCAUGUCUGCCAAUCAAACCGCUUUAACUUAAUAAGAGCAGGAAUCCUCCACCCAGUCAACCCUUAGCCUUGUAAGGUCUGCUCAAGGCUGUAAUCGAGUUUUGUUGUAUUUUGAGAUGCUCAAUCUAAUGGAAAGCGAAAUGGCUGUUUUGUAACCCUUGUUGACUUUUUGAAACGGUUCCCUAAAAGAGGAGCUGCAAAAGACGGGAAAGAAAACUCCCCUCACACCAGGAGAUGCUUUCAUGCUGGCCUCGGGUUACUUUGCCAAUAAACGUCUGAGCUGAAAACUGCAACAGACGGCUCGUGUUUUUGCGCUUUUUUUUUUUGGUAGCAAAGGGUAAGGAUGAGUAGGGUCGUGUACCGUAGCCCCCCCUGACACCCCCGUGCCAUCUGGCAACACGCAAAUUCCCCCACAAUGCAGUCACUCUGCGUGUCACGGUGCAACAUGGAAAUAGCAAAGCGCCUGUAGUCUGGCCUUCAGCUGCUACAAUAAACUAAUCACUUAGUAUCAACAUGGCCUGGGUGUUGGCUUUCCACGCGCCUCCAACAUUGUCACUGACUUUACACAUGCGCUCCGACAUCACAAAAAAUCCACCUUAAUAAAGCACCUCCUGGGUCAAAUGAUUGGCAUGUAUAGAAACAAAUUCAUUAUUUAGUGUAAAUAAACCUACCCGCUGUCAUAAUUGCAGAGCUUAUUUUUCCAAGCCAGGCUUUAGAGGUCGUACUGGAGAAAUUUGCUGCAAACCGCUAAAAGACAAAGCCACUUUGAAGGUCUGCAAGGCAGGAGAAGAUCGCAUGGAGCUUCAUAAAGGCUACUCCGGAAACUCAGGAUAUCAUCCACAUAUCUUCACACAUUGAAGCGUGAAACGCCUCUAACAUGAUGCAUACCCACCACCACCAUUACAUCCGAAUGAGCAUCGUUGACAGGCAGAGGGCCCCUCCAUUGUCUCCCAAGGAUCAUUAGACACCACAAGAGCCAACCGUACCUGUCCGGACCUGCCUCACCCUUCACAGGUUGGCUACACACUCGUCUCUGUACAGUCCAUCACCUUCUCUUUAGUGCGGUCCACGUGCUACGCUGGGGGUAUCUGGUGAGUAUCAUACAGCAACUCUGUAAACACACGCUUUACCUGUGGCCACGAUGCAUCACAUGAUCACGUGUAAGUAUCUUGUGUGCAUGAUCCCAGAUGUUGGUCUAAACGAACCCUCACUCCUUCAACCAUCCUUGUCCAUAAUGUGUACAUGUGUCCUCAGGAGGGCUCGUUCUCUUUGAGGUGGGGCGUCGUCACCUGAAGAAUGAUCCCGUGUGGUGAGAGGUGUUUCCUGUUCCUGUUUCAAAUUCUCUAGCUGUCACAUGUCCAGAAGGAAACCCCUGGUGUGUCUCGUAAAUCAGGUUGCUUUCAUCCCUAGCCUCUAACAUGAUGCAUACCCACCACCACCAUUACAUCCGAAUGAGCAUCGUUGACAGGCAGAGGGCCCCUCCAUUGUCUCCCAAGGAUCAUUAGACACCACAAGAGCCAACCGUACCUGUCCGGACCUGCCUCACCCUUCACAGGUUGGCUACACACUCGUCUCGGUACAGUCCAUCACCUUCUCUUUAGUGCGGUUCAAGUGCUACGCUGGGGGUAUCUUGUGAGUAUCAUACAGCAACUCUGUAAACACACGCUUUACCUGCGGCCACGAUGCAUCACAUGAUCACGUGUAAGUAUCUUGUGUGCAUGAUCCCAGGUGUUGGUCUAAACGAACCCUCACUCCUUCCAACCAUCCUUGUCCAUAAUGUGUACAUUUGUCCUCAGGAGGGCUCGUUCUCUUUGAGGUGGAGCGUCCGUCACCUGAAGAAUGAUCCUGUGUGGUGAGAGGUGUUUCCUGUUCCUGUUUCAAAUUCUCUAGCUGUGGUGGCCAUAAUGAUCCGUGAUGACCGUCAUAUGUUGACAAGUUAUUUUUACCACGAAAAGCGAAUAUGUUUAGAACUCCAAACAAGCUGCUCUGCUGUCACUUGACAUGUUUUUGUUUUGGCAUUUGGAGGGAGGAGCCGGCAGCUCCACUUUGUGCUCCGUGAUAGAACGUGAUCUGUUCAUGCUUUGCAGAGUCUGCAGAGGUCGGUAGUUGCUGUGUUGAACAAGUAUCUAAAGUACUGAUUGGUCGUAAAUACAGCAGAAGCACCAUGAAUUCAUGGCGUGGGAAACCAUGAGGUCUGCAUGCAUGCGUGGAUGCGUGCACGGUGCGAGUGUACUGUGUAAAAUGAUUAGUGUGUGUGUGUGUCAUAGACAUAAGUUCAAUCUCUCCACCUCAGGUACACAGCGCACACACACAUUUUACACACGUAUGCUGGCAUGUGCACAUGCACUCACACGGAACAUGCAUGGACCUCAUAGUUGCCCAUACUUUGAUUUAUUCACGAUGGUCUACUAUAUUUAGCGAGCAAUCGGAACUAUAGUAUACUUGUUCAACUAAGCCACUACAGACGUCUGCAGACUCUGCAAAGCGUGCACAGAUCACCUUCUACUACAGAACACCAAGUGGCACCGCAAGCUCCUCUCUCGUUCCUCAUCAUCCCUACGACAGAAAAACCAGUAAACACAUUUGCUUAGCUUUCCAUGGUAAAAAUAACCUUUGCCAAUGUAUCGUGAUCAUCACGGGCCAUUACGCCCACCACAGCCACACAAUUUGAGAGGAAACUACAAAGUGGAAAUGGUCCAAUCUGUUCCACACAGUAAAUGACAAAUUAGUUGAUUUUGGUUUCAACAAAAUGAAACCCUGAAAUUAGAAAAUGUAUUUGGAAUUCUGUGUAAUUAAUGGGGUGAAAAAACUUUGUUGUUGAGGGACCCAAAAGGGUGGGAAAUUUGGAGUCUGACCAGCAUCAAAAUAACAUUUUACAAGCAAUUUUGUGUAGUUGAGCCUUAUCGUUGACAUUUAUGACACGGAAAAUAAGUUUGUAUAGUCCAAUGAUGUUCAUGGAUUGGAUACAAUUUCUUUUUAACAGACCAAGAGUGCUUUUCCAUACCUGACUGUUGCUGCUCGCUCCUGUGACGCGUCAUGUCAGCUGAUUGAUGCGGAUGCAGAGUUACGCCGCCAGGACACAUCCCGGGAGUGGGUACAAAGGCCCCCCUGGUCCAGGUUUAUGGUCCUCAAUUGCCUCUUUGAUCCAUGUUAUCCCAAUGUUAUCUCCAUUCCAGUCCAUAAUGUGGUUUUCUCUUUUGCAGUGAACGAAAAUGGCGGAUUUGACUUGUUCCUGUUUUGUUGCUUGUGUGCACACUUUUUUCCUGUUUCCUCACUCUGUCCUGUUCCUUUUAUCUUGAAAUUGCCUCCCUCUGAAUUGUUUGAUGCACCUCAUGUAUGGUAGGGUAACUGGUUGCCAUGUUUUUUUUCCUAAUUGUAUUUCCUUGUCUCUGACAGACUGUUGUCAAGUUUUCCCCGUGGUGUCCUGUCCAGCCUUGUUGGCCUGCAGCCGUGCUUCGUCUGCCAGUGUUCUCGCUAUGGGGGUGGGUAAGUAUUAGCUACACUAAAGAUACUGCUGUCAUCCUCCUUGAGCUCUAUAUUCAUGUCCAGAAGGUUUAUUGCAUUGUUGGCUUCUUCAUGUGUAAAUUGGAUGUUUUUGUGCUGUCAAAAUGUGUCCCCUUUUUAUUUUUUUCCAGGAUAUCAUCCACAUAUCUUCACACAGUGAAGCGUGAAACGUGUGUAUAUAUUUAAAUGUUAACCCUCUUAAUGCCUAUUGUACUUGAUGUCGCUGUUUUUGUAUGCAAAUGUUCAAUUUUGUAAAUGUUAGGGUCUAGGGCUCUGUCAAAGAUGUGGCUUAAUUAUAUACUGUAAGAUUAGUAAUAAAAUUCAGGUCUUCCAUUAUAAUCAGCUUUAUUGUCCCAUUGUAAGUUGACGACAAACCUGCAUAUUUUUUUAAAUUUCAAGGUUUGAUUUUGUCAAGUUAAAUUUGUCAUUGACUGUUUGGAAUAAUUUGGACCAUUUUCACAUUGAAAGUGAUAAAUGUUUCCUUCCAUUCGUGGCUGUGGAGAGUUCUGGUGGGGCGUGGGGCUUCAGGACAUAAUGGUCCGUGACGACCAUGGAACGUUGCGCAAAAAGUUAUUUUCACUGAAACGCAAAUGGGUUUACAACUCCAAACAAGCUGCUCUGCUGUCACUACUAGUUUUUCUUGUAGUUUGGAGGGAGGAGCUUGCAGCGCCACGUCAUGCUCGAUGACCGUGUGAUUUGUGCUAGCUUUGCAGAAGUCAAUGGUGACAUAGAAUCUUAGUUAGUUAGUGUCUACAGUUCUGAUUGCUGGCUAAAUAUAGUAGAUCAUCGUGAAAUGUAUGGGAAACAAUGAGCUGUGUGCACGCAUGGCUGUGUGCAUGUGCACACGCCAGCACAUGUGUCCAUGUGUGUUCUGUGUACCUGAGGUGGAGACCAAACUUUAGUAUUUAGCAUACUUUUACACACAGUGCACUUAUGCAGGCACGUGCACACGCACCCAGCCAUGUGUGCACAAACACUCAGACUUCAUUGUUUUCCCAUACGUUCACUUAUUCCGGUCUACUGUAUGUAUUGAGCAAUCAGAAGUAUACUUGUUCAACAAAGCAACUCCUGACUUCAGCAGAAUCUGUAAAGGAUGCACAAGUCACUCAGUCACUGAGCACGAAGUGGAGCUGCAAGCUCUUCCCUCGCUUCUCCCAACUACAGCAAACACUAGUGAGAGCAGAGGAGCUUGUUUGGCGCUCUAAACAUACCCGCUUUGUUUUUCAUACUGAAAAUAACUUUUUGCAAACGUUUAAUGGCCAUCAUGGUCGUCACGGACCAUUAUGUCCUUGAGCCCCACCCCCACCAGAACCCACCACAAUCCGUGAGGAAACACUUCUCACCUACAAUGUGACUAGGUCCACUCUGUUCCAAACAGGACUAUUUUUCCCACAAAAGGAAAGCCAACAUUGGAAAAUGCUGUUUAAUUACAAUGGGUGAAAGAUGUUUAUAAUGGACUAGGAAGGCUGGCAAAUUUGGAAUCCGACCCUAAAGCAUCAAAAUCUUGUGUAGGUGAGCCUUAUCUUUAAGAUGGAGCCCCAGCCCCCCUAACAUGUGUUAAAUGGAAAAUAACUUGUGUAUGUAUUUUGUAAGUAAAAAGUGUGUAUUUAACAGCUAACGGUAGUGGUGUCAAAUACGAUUGUUGGGACAAUGGAGCCUGGAACUGCAAAUUUGGCUGUAUGCAAUAUACAAUCACAAUAAAGGUGAUCUGCCAACGAUGGUCUUUGGGUGGCAUACCUUCAUUAGCAGCCCAUUGGGAUGUCAAGGUCAUGGACCCAUCGGAAACCAAGGUGGGAUGCAUUAUUUGUGAGAGGCUAAAUCGGUCUUUUUUUUUAGAAAGGAUGAAAGUAUGCUAGCAUGGGUAAAGCAUGGUAAAGGUAAAUAGACUUUUUUUUUUGCCUUCAACAGUGCUCUUUGAGGUGCAGGUAGACCGCCGAGGCUUGACCUGAAUGUCGGGGUGGUGCUGUCUCCUCUCUUUGGGGUGUCCCAACCUCUGUCUCAAAGUGGUAGCAUGUUUGUUUACGGUUUUGUUGAAAAUCCUGAGUUUGUCAGAUACGCCUGAAACAUACGGGAGGACUUGCCUGCUACACUCUUCUUCUUCUUCCUCAUCCACCUUCCUUUGGUUCUUUGUAGAACGAGAUGCACUUUUCACAAACUAACAUCUGUGGUAACCACGGGAUUUGAGGGCAUCCCUCAGGCUUAUCUGCAAACGACAUGGUACUCCUCAAAGCUGCUAACACUAGGAGACAGAGGUUGGGGCACCUGAGAGAGGACACGGCAAACACCAUGUUUUCAGGUCAAGACUCAAAGAGCACUCUUGAGGACUAAUGUAUGUAUUCAGGACAGGAUGGUUUGAAAGUGGGAAAGCAUCUAGGCUUUGGUUUGAAGGCCUCUGACUUAGCCUCACAAAUAAUGCAUAACCACCUUUGGUUUCAGAUGGGUCCAUGACAUCGCAUCUGAAUGGGAGGCUAACGGCGGUCAUAGCAACCAAACCACCAUCUUUGGCGAGCAGAGGCUCCUCGCCGUUGUAUCACAGCAAUCGUCCUUUGACACCACUGAGAAGCCAACCGUUCCUGUCUGGACCUGACCUCCUCGAAGUUGGCUUGACUGGCUUUUGCUCAAUCACGUCUGCCUGGUGUCCUACCUAAGCUUUGAGCAUGAAGCGAUGAAGCCUGCUUGGAGGAGGAGCGGCCCUCAUGAGGAAAAAGUGGUAGAAAAUGAAUGUUUAGUAUUUUUUGUAAGUAGUAAAUCCAAAUAGCAGUAUUGAUUGCAGCAUCACUAAAAUAAAGUCACAGUUUAGCUCCUAAUAAAAAUAGUAUAUAGCUAAAAGUAGUAUGAAGUAUCCAAACCAAAGUCAGGGAGUGUGUUUGUCUCUUGCUUGUCUUUGCUGUGAGUUCAUGGUUGCCGGUUGAUGGUUUGUCUUCCUUUUUUUGUGCAUCAUAAGCACUUUAAGCUCCAACACUGCAAAAAGUCAAUUCUUUUCUUCAAAUGGAGUAUUCAGCCAACCGGGACAUUAUCGCGUGAUAUGAGGAAUAGAGGAGUCAACAAGAGUGGCUGGCUGGACAGCUUAGUGGAUCACACCACGGCCUUUGGACCAGGAGUCUGGGGUUCAAAGCCUGGGCCGCAUAAGUGGGAAUAUCUACUAACAACAUAUGGAGCUUUUUGUGGUAGAUUAGUCAGGAAUUGUAAAAGAUAUAGACGCACGGAGAAAAGGCUUGGUGUGGCUGGCUGGGUGGCUCCGAGGUUUCACCAGUGGCAUUGGAGCGGGAGAUGGUGGUUCAAAUCCUCGCUGGAGCAAUGGAAAAAUCCCAAAUGGCCAUGAUUUUGGAGUGGGAUGGAGACGCACGGCUUAGUGUGGAUGGAUGGGUGGCUCCGAGAUAACACCAGCAGUGGUGGAGGCAAGAGGAGGUGCAGGUGAGGGCGGAGCCAGAUGGCUUGCCAGGUGGUUGGUGGGCGGAGCUAGAGUGCAAGGAAGGUGGUUGGCAGGGGGAGGACUGGCCAGGCACUUUGCAGGAGGAGUUCAUACUCCAAAGCACAACAUAUUCACUUACAAUGAAAUAUUUUUUUUUUCACAAAAAUGAAAAUAUAAAAAAUGGUGUUAAAAAAUGAAAAAACACCAAACAUGAAAAAAUAAAAAUGAAACCAACCAAAAAUGACAAAAAUGACAAAAAAAAUGACAAAAAAUGACAAAUGAAACCAACAAAA